RNAcentral lists this transfer RNA (71 nucleotides) under Heterocarpus ensifer. RNAcentral describes it as "tRNA-Trp". The record is from RNAcentral. RNAcentral also lists the same sequence under 1 other name. Lineage: Eukaryota; Metazoa; Arthropoda; Malacostraca; Decapoda; Pandalidae.
UAAGGUUUUAAGUUAAAAAAACUAGCAGCCUUCAAAGUUUCAAAUAAGAGUCUUAAUCUCUUAAACCUUAA